UCCAACUGCUUUGAUCCAUUGCACCAUCAUCGAUAUCAAAAACAUCCUAACUUACCACACUACGUGCUACGCCAACCCCAAAAUUUCUCAGUAAUUUUCCAUUGGAGGCAUCCCAAAUGGUGGCAUUGGCGGCAUUCCCAUACCAGGCAUUCCCAUACCAGGCAUUGGUGGUGGCAUUCCCAUACCAGGCAUUGGUGGUGGCGCACCAUAAGGCCCGCCCAUGUUUGAUCCUCCCAUACUAGGCAUAGGUGGUGCUGGUAAAGCAAGAGGCAGCAACUGUGCAUACAUAUUCUGCAGAAAAAUACGACAUAU
RNAcentral lists this long non-coding RNA (312 nucleotides) under Musa acuminata (dwarf banana). RNAcentral describes it as "long non-coding RNA (MACU_LNC001978)". The record is from RNAcentral. Lineage: Eukaryota; Viridiplantae; Streptophyta; Magnoliopsida; Zingiberales; Musaceae.